CAGUUAGCAAGAUUGAGCUCCGUCAUUUGGAUCCAUUAGCCCGUACAGGAGCUCGCUCCAAUACUCGCGUUAUCCACAAAAUGUAGCAGUAGAUUGAAGAUGGCAUUGCUAAGCGCGCUCCUAACAGUCUCCGUCCACAGUCUCUAGCGGCAGAUUGGAGACUGAGUUGAUAAGCGCGCUUCUCACGGUGUUCAUCCACCGUCUCUAGCGGUUGAACGAAAAUGAGUUGGGAACGAGUCCAGGCGAGCGCAUCUAGCCGCGUGUGUAGUGCGUUUGGAGUUGCGGAGAAAUGCAGGAGUCUGGAUGCGCGCGCCGCGCGUCCUUCAACAGGCAAGUUGUUGUUAGUUGUGAUUCAGGAUUCAGUUGUGAUUUAAGUCGUGAGCGCUCAUGGAAUUGAUUGUAAAGUCCACUUGUUAAAUGGCCUCACUCCAGACGAGCAUCUGCACUCAGAUUUAUUUCCAAGUAUUCUGGAAUUUCCAAGCGGCUAAUAUUCUAUGAUCUGAUUGCCCAUCCUGUAUCUGAGCAAUCAUUGGUAGAGAGUUAGCAGCAAAAUCAAAUCACCUCAAAAUUCAUCAUUUAGUGCUUCAAACAACAUUGAUAUCAAGGAAGAUUUAGUGUAGGCAACUUAAAUAAUCAUAAACAGUAACUUUCAAAGUUUGAUUUGUCCAGAUAUUAAUUUUUUCAAACGAAGAAGAAAAGUGUACUUAAGUUCAGUGUUGGAAAUGCCUAAAUAUCUGAAUCAGUAGGUAAAACCAAACUCUUCGGAAUUUAAGUUUUAAAGAAGAACUUUAUAUUUGGUGAGUCUUUUUUUAUAUAAUUUCUUAACGCAUACUCUUUCAACACAGAAGGACUUUGAUAAACUGUAGAAAGCAGUUUCUUUUGAUGCUCAUCAUGAAACAUCAUCUCAGCAAGUUUGAUGCCCUCUCAAGUCUUAGUUACAUAUUUGUGCUGUAUAUUACCUGAAAAUUUUGAUUUUAUGUAGUUCAAAGCCUUGAAUAUUUUCUGUCAUACUUUUUAGUGAUCUAGCUGUAUUUGUCGGCAUCAUUUAAGUGGAUCUGAAUGUCAUGAUUUAUCAUUAUAACUUAUUAAGCUUAAAUUAAAGACAUUGUGUACCUCCAUCCCCCCAAAACUGAGGGUCUCGCAGUCAAAAUCUCACGAUACUUUACACCGGUGACUAAUGAAGAGUUACUGGAGUAAGCGUUAUUCGGACUAGAUGUGGCGCAUCAAUCAAUACCUUGGUAUACAUUUUCUACAUCAAACUUCAUUCAUCUUUGUAGGGUUCUCUAUGGCAAACAUGCUCCCUUUGUGCUACCAGCUACAUGUGUCUUUCAGUGUCAUUGAUUAUCCUAGGAUGACGAAUGACAUGUGUCAUCCAUAAUCGUAGGAUGACCAAUGACAUGCGCCGUUUAAUGUCAUUCAUCAUCCUAGAAUUCCUAACGACAUGUUUUAGGAUUUUCAAUGACAUGCAUCCUUCGAUGUCAGGAUUUUCAACAAUAUAUGGAGUUGAAUGUCUUUCAAUGUCUUUGUGAGGAAUGAAGGAUAUAUCCUUGGAACGACAUCUGAUGAUAAAGUGGCAAAA
This is a non-coding RNA of Bemisia tabaci, 1579 nucleotides long. The record is from RefSeq and is a predicted model, not a curated record. NCBI's taxonomy places the organism in Eukaryota, Metazoa, Arthropoda, Insecta, Hemiptera, Aleyrodidae.